RNAcentral lists this ribosomal RNA (1004 nucleotides) under Ophiocordyceps neovolkiana. RNAcentral's name for it is "SSU rRNA". It matches the Rfam family "Eukaryotic small subunit ribosomal RNA", at positions 84 to 1099 of the family's 1831-position model. The record is from RNAcentral. Lineage: Eukaryota; Fungi; Ascomycota; Sordariomycetes; Hypocreales; Ophiocordycipitaceae.
AAACUGCGAAUGGCUCAUUAUAUAAGUUAUCGUUUAUUUGAUAAUACCUUACUACUUGGAUAACCGUGGUAAUUCUAGAGCUAAUACAUGCUAAAAAUCCCGACUUCGGAAGGGGUGUAUUUAUUAGAUUAAAAGCCAAUGCCCCCCGGGCUCUCUGGUGAUUCAUGAUAACUGCUCGAAUCGCCUGGCCUUGUGCCGGCGAUGGCUCAUUCAAAUUUCUUCCCUAUCAACUUUCGAUGUUCGGGUAGUGGCCAAACAUGGUUGCAACGGGUAACGGAGGGUUAGGGCUCGACCCCGGAGAAGGAGCCUGAGAAACGGCUACUACAUCCAAGGAAGGCAGCAGGCGCGCAAAUUACCCAAUCCCGAUACGGGGAGGUAGUGACAAUAAAUACUGAUACAGGGCUCUUUUGGGUCUUGUAAUUGGAAUGAGUACAAUUUAAAUCCCUUAACGAGGAACAAUUGGAGGGCAAGUCUGGUGCCAGCAGCCGCGGUAAUUCCAGCUCCAAUAGCGUAUAUUAAAGUUGUUGUGGUUAAAAAGCUCGUAGUUGAACCUUGGGCCUGGCUGGCCGGUCCGCCUCACCGCGUGCACUGGUCCGGCCGGGCCUUUCCCUCUGUGGAACCCCAUGCCCUUCACUGGGCGUGGCGGGGAAACAGGACUUUUACUUUGAAAAAAUUAGAGUGCUCCAGGCAGGCCUAUGCUCGAAUACAUUAGCAUGGAAUAAUGGAAUAGGACGUGCGGUUCUAUUUUGUUGGUUUCUAGGACCGCCGUAAUGAUCAAUAGGGACAGUCGGGGGCAUCAGUAUUCAAUUGUCAGAGGUGAAAUUCUUGGAUUUAUUGAAGACUAACUACUGCGAAAGCAUUUGCCAAGGAUGUUUUCAUUAAUCAGGAACGAAAGUUAGGGGAUCGAAGACGAUCAGAUACCGUCGUAGUCUUAACCAUAAACUAUGCCGACUAGGGAUCGGACGAUGUUAUUUUUUGACUCGUUCGGCACCUUACGAGAAAUC